UGCCGGUGACAAACCGGAGGAAGGUGGGGAUGACGUCAAAUCAUCAUGCCCCUUAUGACCUGGGCUACACACGUGCUACAAUGGACGGUACAAAGAGCUGCAAGACCGCGAGGUGGAGCUAAUCUCAUAAAACCGUUCUCAGUUCGGAUUGUAGGCUGCAACUCGCCUACAUGAAGCUGGAAUCGCUAGUAAUCGCGGAUCAGCAUGCCGCGGUGAAUACGUUCCCGGGCCUUGUACACACCGCCCGUCACACCACGAGAGUUUGUAACACCCGAAGUCGGUGGGGUAACCUUUUUGGAGCCAGCCGCCUAAGGUGGGACAGAUGAUUGGGGUGAAGUCGUAACAAGGUAGCCGUA
Molecule: ribosomal RNA, 356 nt
Filed under: Bacillus anthracis (anthrax bacterium)
Lineage: Bacteria; Bacillati; Bacillota; Bacilli; Caryophanales; Bacillaceae
Description: bacterial SSU rRNA
Rfam family: Bacterial small subunit ribosomal RNA
Source: RNAcentral